This 61-nucleotide non-coding RNA is filed under the name Thermobaculum terrenum. Its description in RNAcentral is "Fluoride sequence". It matches the Rfam family "Fluoride riboswitch aptamer (crcB RNA motif)". RNAcentral also lists the same sequence under 1 other name. The record is from RNAcentral. Lineage: Bacteria; Bacillati; Chloroflexota; Chloroflexia; Thermobaculales (SeqCode); Thermobaculaceae (SeqCode).
AUAACAUAAGGCGAUGAGGCUCGCCUUGAACCGCCGUUGUGCUGAUGGCCUCUACCCUUCU